Patella vulgata (common limpet) is the source of this 692-nucleotide long non-coding RNA. RefSeq lists it as uncharacterized. The record is from RefSeq and is a predicted model, not a curated record. The transcript has 4 exons. Lineage: Eukaryota; Metazoa; Mollusca; Gastropoda; Patellidae.
UAAAUCAUCACGUGAUACAGAUAAACUACCAAAAACGCAUAUAAAUAGAAUUGAUUUGAUCAUUCAGUGACAGUUGUUAGGUACUCUAAGAUACACGGUAAUUUGUCAAAUAAGAAGGCUGUUGCUUUUCUAGUUGUUUUUCUCGCUGUAGCAUUUUCAGAAACCAAUGCUGGUGAGGCGGAGUGUGCUACUGCGUCAACCAUCAAAUGCGUUUCAAAUUUUUCUGCUGCUGCGAAUACCGAAUGCACGAAGAAAGAACCAUACUUUCAAUGCUUGAGGGAUAACGGCUGUACCAAGGCUGACGAAACUUAUAAAGGUUUUGUUAAUACGUUAGAUUAUACCAAGUGUAGUGGUGCUGGUCUAGCCAUAACAUGGAUGUUGCCAUUGGUAAUGUUAUUAAUGUCAAGGACGUUCUCUGAUUAAUAAACAAGAAGACAAAGAAGAUGCACCCAUAUCCAUAAAUCUACAGGGUAUUAGUACCCAUCCGGCAAUAAUGUAUGAUAUACAUGCCCAGCCAGCCUUAAAAUAUGCAAAAAUACCAUUAAACUAUUGUAUAUAAGAACAAAUUUAAUCCGCUUAAAAUUAACAUUAAUAUGUUCUAUAAAAUUUACAUGUUCUAUAAAAUUUACAUUAAUAUGUUCUAUAAAAUUUACAUUAAUAUAUCAAUAAAAUAAAUUACACAGUUAAUAAUC